GUUGAGCAGCCAGGAGGUUGAGUUUCUGUUUAGAUAUUCUCUAUCCUGUGGCUUUCCUUGUGAUCCAACCUGUUCCUGUGUAUCCUGUGGACUGUCUGAGAUAUUCCUGCAGAGCUUCUUGAGACACCUAAGCCAUCUAUAAUUGGCAUUGGGGAGAGUUUAUCUGUUCCAGAUGAAUUCACCAAAGAGGACAAAGUCACUGGCCAGAGGUUUAGACAGGUGUUGACUGGAGCAAUUGUACAACUCCUUGAGAAUGCCUGAAGAUCAUAAUGCAGGUGAGUUCAUGGUUCACUGUUUGCUGCUUUACAAAGGAAUCAUUUCAGAUUUAUUUGCACUAUUCCUGCCAGGAGAAACAUGGAGAGUUCCAACUAGGUCUUCACAGAGGUCAUGACAAUUCAUAUUAAUCAUAAAUGAUCAGCAGAGCUAAGUCAAAGGCUAUUUGAAAUGAAUCUUGAAGACAAGCUAGGUAAGGCAUCAGCUUCUGUCCUCUUCCAGAGGAGUUAUAACUGGGCUACAUCUAAUGAUUUUGGCAAUUUGUCUGAUACCCUUCUGAUCAAUUGCUUUUUGCAGCUUGCUGAAAGAAAGGGUUUCAUACACAGGGACUUUUUGCUAUUCUACAGCAGUGUUCUGGGAGAUUUUGUCCCUGCAAUGACCAGGAGCUCUUCUUUGAGCUCAAACUUUACCAUCAUCAAAAAUGAAUCUCAAGAGUGACUUUGAGAAUAUGUUGAAGGAAGCAGGAACCUUUUCCCUUUUAGGAAUGUAAUUAAAAUUGUAUCUGAGACAUAAUUAAAUUCAGUCCACAUGAAAAGGUACUUACUAUA
Monodelphis domestica (gray short-tailed opossum) is the source of this 821-nucleotide non-coding RNA. NCBI's taxonomy places the organism in Eukaryota, Metazoa, Chordata, Mammalia, Didelphimorphia, Didelphidae. The record is from RefSeq and is a predicted model, not a curated record.